UACGGGUAGGUCCGAGCGUUGUCCGGAAUUACUGGGCGUAAAGAGCUCGUAGGUGGUUUGUCGCGUUGUUCGUGAAAACUCACACUCAAUUGUGGGCGUGCGGGCGAUACGGGCAGACUGAGUACUGCAGGGGAGACUGGAAUUCCUGGUGUAGCGGUGGAAUGCGCAGAUAUCAGGAGGAACACCGGUGGCGAAGGCGGGUCUCUGGGCAGUAACUGACGCUGAGGAGCGAAAGCGUGGGGAGCGAACAGG
This 252-nucleotide ribosomal RNA is filed under the name uncultured bacterium. Its description in RNAcentral is "partial 16S ribosomal RNA". It matches the Rfam family "Bacterial small subunit ribosomal RNA", at positions 524 to 776 of the family's 1533-position model. The record is from RNAcentral.